Podarcis lilfordi (Lilford's wall lizard) is the source of this 77-nucleotide non-coding RNA. NCBI's taxonomy places the organism in Eukaryota, Metazoa, Chordata, Lepidosauria, Squamata, Lacertidae. The record is from the annotation of a GenBank genome assembly.
AGUAAUGUGGCACAAUGGGUUAGUGCAUCUGGCUUUUAACCAGAAGGUUGGUGGUUCAAUUAUUCAGUUAUUGACUA